UACGUAGGGUGCAGGCGUUAAUCGGAAUUACUGGGCGUAAAGCGUGCGCAGGCGGUUUGCUAAGACAGGUGUGAAAUCCCCGGGCUCAACCUGGGAAUGGCGAUGGUGACUGCAAGGCUAGAGUUUGGCAGAGGGGGGUAGAAUUCCACGUGUAGCAGUGAAAUGCGUAGAUAUGUGGAGGAACACCGAUGGCGAAGGCAGCCCCCUGGGUCAAAACUGACGCUCAUGCACGAAAGCGUGGGGAGCAAACAGG
This 253-nucleotide ribosomal RNA is filed under the name uncultured prokaryote. Its description in RNAcentral is "partial 16S ribosomal RNA". It matches the Rfam family "Bacterial small subunit ribosomal RNA", at positions 524 to 776 of the family's 1533-position model. The record is from RNAcentral.